Podarcis lilfordi (Lilford's wall lizard) is the source of this 6272-nucleotide non-coding RNA. The record is from the annotation of a GenBank genome assembly. Lineage: Eukaryota; Metazoa; Chordata; Lepidosauria; Squamata; Lacertidae.
GGCCCCCUUAGGACAUGGGAUAGUUGAAUGGGCUGCUCUUUUUAUGAUUUGUAGGUUGAAUAUUAAUCUUAUUAAUUUGAAUAACUUCAGUUAGGAUGGGGCAACACUGGGGGGGGGGGAGCAGGGACCUCAGUAUUAUGGUGGUACUGCAUCUAUUGAUCAUAGAUAGGACUAAUUCUGUUUCACAAAAUAUUUCUCUAUGGCUGCUUCUAUUUGUAUGGAUUCAGUAUAACUGACAAUUGCAAGGAACUGGGGGAUUGCUUAAGCACAAGAUGGCUAUUCUGACAAUUUCUCAGAAAUCCAUAUUCCUUGAGAGUUAACGCAUACCUGUUCAUAAUAUACACAUAAUAUAAAUGAUGCAAAAGAAUGGCCAAAAUACUUGUUUGCCUUUUGUCGAUGUUCUAUUAGAGUUUCAGUUAGGACAAAUUUGUCUUGAUCCAUUGAAGUGGGGUCAGUGUUUUACUGAGUCAGAAAAUGUAUAUCUUUUGGAUGUAGUCAAGAUGGCCAGAUGCAUCCUGCCAAUUGUGUGAUUUUGAGGUUUAUGAUUCUACAGCUCAGUUUUGAAAUUGCCCUAGUAUUUGUGGCUUCAGAAAGUGGAAAAAAAGUUAAGCCAAACUCUUUACAAUUUUCUAUAUUUGGUUUUAGGUGGAAAGCAUGCAAGAAGUUUUGAUAUGCCACUCUAGACCACACGUUGAAGUGUCCUAGAAGUCAUAAGCUAACUAAUUUACCAAAUGCUUAUUAGCUAAAGGUCUGUCUGAUGGUCUUGAAACUAGCUAUUGCUUUUUCUAGCUAUUUCUCACUUCAUUUUUUGGCAAAAGGUUUGCUACCCCCUGCAGCUGCUCAGUCUCAUAGAACAAUGCUGAUUGAAAUCAAUUAUAGGAGUUUGACUCCUCUGCAUGCUAUAUUCAGGAUGAAUGGCAGUUGUGGAAUAGUCACCUUAAAGAGAAACAUGUUCUUAACAUCAAGGCAGACUCUGAUCAUUGCUUUACAUGACCUAACCUUUUACUUAUGUCUCAUUCUCUACACACCCACAAAAAUGCAUCAAAGCCAAAACCAUAAUUAGAUGUGGGUUGAGAAUUGGCAUUAUGCAGGGAACAUUUUAGCAUAGUACUGUACAAGUAUUUUGAAAACAAAAGUUGUUGGGAAAACCAGAGAGUUCUCUAACAAUGCCUGCCUUUUUUCCCCACCAGCACUAAAGACUACUAAGUACCGCAAUGAGCUAGAGGCCAACUGGCAGACGUACUUUGGAUUCUUUAUUCUGGAAAUAAUAUUCUAUCUUCCUGGGCUCACAGUUUGCCUUUAAGCCAAGCCCUUAGAAUAUGGGGUCCACUUCUUAAUCUCUUUCCCCCUCCCUCAAAUUUGUCUAUUUUUUAAGGAUAGAAAAUGGUGGACGUGCCUUGGUGUGACUCUCAUUAUUUUAGGACACAGCCCAGCUGUGGGUCAUAUAUUUUGGCCUGACAUGUUAAUAGCAUGUUUAGACCUCAUUCUUAAAAAACAAACAAACCCCAAAACAAAAAAAAUCCCAUGCCUGCAUCAAACCAGGCACUGUGGGUUAAAAUAUUUUAUCUGUACAAUUUCCCUGCUGAAAAUUGCUCCUAAAGCUGCUACCUGCUACAAGAAGCAUAUUUUGAAGGAGGGUUAAUUUGGCAAGGAAAAUUAUUUAGAAUAAAAGGGUUAAAUCUCCCAUCUGGAUCAGGGCAACUUUUAUUCUUGAGUGUUAAAAUCUUUCCAACUUAAAUUAGAAAAUUGGUGUUUGGAAUGUCUGGAUUUCUCUGGACAUUACCAGGAUUUCAAAGGCAGAAAUGACGUCUGGGGGGAAUUUCCAAAAUAUGGCGCUUUGUCCUGGAUCUUAAGAAAGUCAAUAGAAAAAUCACAUUAUUAUUUUUUUGGCGUCUUUGUAAAAUAAAAUCUCAACAACCUUGGGGUUUGUACAAUAAAAGCCCAACAACUUUCGAGAUUUCCUUAAAAAAAGCUCAACAGUUUUUGGGGGUUUCCUGUCUCUUACUUUUUGAAAUAUGGCAAUGCUACAUAAAGUCAGAUAAGGGUUUGGGGUUUUUUUAAGCGACAAGCUUGUAAUUGGAGUACUUCCAAUUGUUUUGAAAUUUCAGAGGGAUAAACAUGUUUCAAUGCCAGUAAUACAUGUGAAAAAGGUCUAGGGGUCUUAGCAGACAACAAUGUUAAAUGCCAAGAAAAGGAAGGAAACUAAUUGGAAGGAAAGAACUCUCGUAGGAUUUAAAAAUGGGACAAGCCAGGUGUCCCACAUCUUAUAUGUGUGCAGCUAGUCAUUCCUGCCUAAGUGUAGAACUCAACAUUUUGUUUCAGCCCAGUUCCCCAAUCUGUUAAGGUCAUCUUGAAUCCCGAUUCUGCCUUCUGUGGCAUUAGCUAUUUGAUCGAUAUGCUGUUCCAUUAUAGUAAAAUCAAACUUCAAUUGCUGGAGGAAAUUGCUCCUUUUUAAAUGCUGCCAUUUAGAUAAUAACAGUUCUUUUCGCUCCUCAUCUCAACACAUUACAUAGCAACAAACCUGGACUUGCCACUAUGUGCACAUUCAACAAGGAACCACAGCCCAAGAUCAGCUGCCGACCAAGGCUAUCUGUAUAAUAUGUGUGUUUUUGAAUACUCAUUUUGUCAGUUAUGUUCAUGCCUUACAUUUUUAGUUUUGCACCUAAGAAUGUAAUGUUUGACACCAAAGGACCAGAUUUCGUAUUACAUUAAUAGUGUGUUGAAACAUGCUUGAGACCAGCUUCCAAAACUAGAAACAGGAAAAAUGCACAUAAAAUUACCAAGAGUUCCACAUCUAAAAAUAAAAUAUUAUAAUAAAAUCAGCUGGAAUUAAGCCCUAAAGACUUGUUGAAAAAGCUCAAGCUUUGUGACUGCUGAUUGAUGUUUUCAUGCUAUGCUUUCACUGCAGUUGCAAUGUGGAACAGAGAUGUUGCAUCCAGCCUAAAUCAUUUACAUUGAAUCUGGACUUUCCAGACAGAGACAGGAAAGUUUCUCUGUAGCAAUCUUCCAUGCCACAAGUGCAGUGGAAAAAGUACCUUUCACUGUUGUAAAAAAGAAAGUCUAGAUUCUCAGGAGUCCAAAUUCUCCGUCAUGUUCUCUGCGAAAUCCCAAGAAAGAACGGAAUGGUAGGGAAGGGGCUUGGAGGGAAGUUGGAGACCACAUACAGACAGUGAGGCACUUUUCUUACUCUGCACAUUUUUAGGUCUUGCCCUGCUUAGUGCUGGAGUGCAGCUCCUGACAGAUUCCCACAGAGGUAAUUUAAACCUUGGGCUAAAAAAGGUUCCCAAACCCCAAACCCUCCAACAUUUCUCUGAUGAAAAUAGGGACAUCCCAUUCCAUAAUGAUAAUUUUACUAUUUAUACCCCACAUACUGGGUUGCCCCAGCCACUCUGGGCAGCUUCCAACAUAUACAAAAGCAUAAUAAAACAUUAAAAAUCUUCCCUAUACAGGACUGCAUUCAGACAGCUCAGGGGUCGGAUAACUCCAUUCCCUCUAACAUAGGCACGUCCAACAGGUAGACAUUUCUCCAAUGAAAAUAGAGAAAUCCUAAGGAAAUGUGGAUCACUGCAGAUGGUGACAGCAGUCACGAAAUUAAAAGACGCCUGCUUCUUGGGAGAAAAGCAAUGACAAACCUAGACAGCAUCUUAAAAAGCAGAGACAUCACCUUGCCGACAAAGGUCCUUAUAGUUAAAGCUAUGGUUUUCCCAGUAGUGAUGUAUGGAAGUGAGAGCUGGACCGUAAAGAAGGCUGAUCGCCAAAGAAUUGAUGCUUUUGAAUUAUGGUGCUGGAGGAGACUCUUGAGAGUCCCAUGGACUGCAAGAAGAACAAACCUAUCCAUUCUUCAGGAAAUCAGUCCUGAGUGCUCACUGGAAGACAAGAGUGCCUGGCGUUCUCUGGUCCAUGGGGUCACGAAGAGUCGGACACGACUAAACAACAACAAAGGAAAUGUGGGACAUUGUGGGUUCAAAUCAGAAAGUGGGAUGGCUUCUCUAAAUCAGGGUCAUCCCUGGAAAAUAGAGACACUUGGAGGGUCUGCAAACCUAACGUAAGCUUGUCAUCUUUUAAAAACUUGUUAUUGUGGUUACCCAUGCUCAAAGGGUGUAGCAGAAAAAGAGAAGACAGCAGUGUAGGCCUGGCCACAUGACAAAGUGUGGAAACAGACUAAAUGUAGGAAACAACAGGUGAUUUUUCUGGAGCUCAUAAUACAGUAUUAAGUAGCUUAAGGACUGGUAGCACAGUAAAUAUUUACACUCUGACAAUGUCUUAUGGUGAGACAGAUGCCUUAUUCCUCUCGCACACAUGCUGCCAUAUUACUGCAGAAUUCCAAGUGUAAAACAUCAUCUAAGAACUAAAUUAUCCAUUAAUUUUGGAGUGAUAUCCUGAGGCAGGGGCGGGGAUGAAGGUUUUUAGCUCAUCAUGAAAAGUUCUUUUUUAACUGAGAUUUCACAAAUGAGUUAAAGCCUCUCAGUGACAGUUCAGUUCACUGAUGACUAAUGCAUCUGUUCUGCCAUUCGUCUGGGAAAUUUAUUUUGUCAAAAGCAGGGACUAUUAUAGCAUAUGUGCAUUUAAAAUGCUGGUUCUUUUGCAUAAGUGAAAUUAUUCUCCUGUCUUUUGCUCCUAGGGAUAACAAAAAAUAGAGCAUUUCUUUUUCUCAAUGGGGGAAAAAAGCACCUAUUGUGACAAAUGUCCCUGCAUUAAAAGCUUAAUCGCAGGGUUCUGAGCACUUGUGUGAAAGUGAUAUUUUAUGUAUUGUCAUGUAGAGUUACUAAGAAUAGGUGAUUAGAUGUUAUAGUGAUUUCCAGUUUUUUCUUUGAGGGAAAACAUUGUAUAAAUGCUGCAUUAUCUCUUUUUCAAAAACUCUCCUCUCUACUCAGAAAUGUGAGUCAGAGCAUCCUUAAAAACAUUAAGGUAACAUGUACAUGGAUUAAUGCACUGGUACAUUUUAGCCUUUACAGAAAAUUCAAAUGAAUGUUCAAGACAAGCCCUGGUGAAGCACAUUAAACAUUGAAAUCUCAAACUGUGUUUUGACACAGCAAAUAAUACUGUGGUUCAGGGAUGAGGGACCCUAUAGCCCUCUAGUUGUGGUUGAAUUCAAACUCCUGUCAGUCCAAGCUGGAACGGCUGAUAGUAAUGGAUGAUGGUAGUUGUAGCGUCACAAUGUCUAGAGAGUCACAGAUCUCCAGCCCUGCUCUAGUUUCUUUGCUGAAUCAUGGCGCUUCUUGUGUACCUUGUCAUAAUUAUAGUCUCCACCUCAAGUUACGUCACUCAUCGGUUACCUCAAGUGACUUUACAAUUUGUUUUGGAUACUCUUGAAAUGCUUGCUUCCAUUGAUUUCCUCCAAGGAUUUGAGGCAGAAUAAACAUCAAACAUACUGUAAAACAAAAAAUAUUGAGAAACAUGCUUUUGAAAUCUUUCCAUUAAACAGAAUUGCUUACGCAGAGCUUCCAAGGAAAACACAAGGCCACACAGACUAAUAUUUCAGAAUCAGAUCUGUUGUCAGGUUUUGGGGGCUCGAUUUGUUUCCUCACCCCCUGUUCCUUUGUGUCUUCCACUUGCCGCAGCCUGGUUCACUUUAAGAUGUAGGCCUCUUCCUUCCUGCCACUGCCAGGGUUAUAAGCAACCUUGGCCAGCCUGAAGGAAAUAGCUCAGUGGUAGAAUAAUUGCUUGCAUGCCAAAGGUCCCAAACCCACCCACCGACCCACCAGUGGGUUAACUAGCCCAGUGGUUGAUGAACUUCCCACCUUUGUGGAACACUUUCUCUUAGGUGCCAAAGAAUCCCUGGAAGACCCCUGGAAUUGCACAAAUGGUAUUGGGGCAUGCUGUAAUUUUAUUGAUGUGUUUUGUGUUUGUGUAUUGAUCUUACUAAAGGAUUUUAUUAUUGAAUUUUAGUAUGUCAGCCACUUUGAGCCCUGGAAUAUAAAACCCAUACACACUGGACUAUAACACACACACAUCUAGGGGGAGCGCCUAUUUUACACAGGUCACUAACCAACCCUGCAGAUGGAGCUGGGCAGAUCUGUCAUUGAGUUUCUCUGUUUUCCAUUUCUUUUCAUUUCAUUCAAUCUUACAUUCAUCUCUCUUCAUCUCCACAUCAGUUUGUGAAUUUAUUUCUCUAAAGCCCUUGAAAAUUGUAUGCAUUUUCAUGAGUGUUUCAACUAAUAAACAGAUUUUUGCAAGCUAGUGUCCCCAAUAUAAUGCAUUUUGUACAUUUUUUUUACCAGUAUAUGCAUUCUUGUGCACAUGUACCCCCAAAUAAAUGUUUUAUUAUACAC